GUUUCGCCGGAGACUCCUUAAUCCGACAUCCUGUUCUGCCGCAUAGCUGCUCGCUGACACUCGGGGCACUCCGAGCUGCUGCCCUGACCAAAAAGCCUUUGUACACGCGAAAGGCCGUGUUGCAACGCAUGUUCCCUUCUCCACGCAGAACAGGGAAGUGGAAACAUCAGCUAAUUAAAGACGGGGAGAAAAGAAAGCAGCUGAGCCAGGAAGCUCCCACCGGCAGUGCUGAGCGCCGGCUUUGGGGCUGUUACAAAGGGGGACGUGUGCCGAGGAGCAAAUCAAGAAGCCGGAGGCUGCUGAUAAGCCCAGCCAGCCCCAGCCGUUCCUGCUCUCCCACGCCGGCCCGCAGCGGGGAAGGGAUGCGGACGCGGCACAUUCGGAGCACGUUGCGACAGCCGGGGAUGGGCGCUGGGGGCAGGACCGGUGGAGCCGCUCCGGGGGUGUUAACCGGUGUCCUGCUGGAUGGCAACAAAAGAAAACAUCCAAGCAGUGAUAAGUGACACGUCUCCCUCAAACGGAACUGAUUCUCUCUGUCAGCAGA
Molecule: long non-coding RNA, 544 nt
Organism: Lepidothrix coronata (blue-crowned manakin)
Lineage: Eukaryota; Metazoa; Chordata; Aves; Passeriformes; Pipridae
Exons: 3
Source: RefSeq, a predicted model, not a curated record